This 507-nucleotide ribosomal RNA is filed under the name uncultured bacterium. RNAcentral's name for it is "partial 16S ribosomal RNA". It matches the Rfam family "Bacterial small subunit ribosomal RNA", at positions 29 to 523 of the family's 1533-position model. The record is from RNAcentral.
AGUGAACGCUGGCGGUAGGCCUAACACAUGCAAGUCGAACGGCAGCACAGGAGAGCUUGCUCUCUGGGUGGCGAGUGGCGGACGGGUGAGGAAUACAUCGGAAUCUACUCUGUCGUGGGGGAUAACGUAGGGAAACCUACGCUAAUACCGCAUACGACCUACGGGUGAAAGCAGGGGACCUUCGGGCCUUGCGCGAUUGAAUGAGCCGAUGUCGCGAUUAGCUAGUUGGCGGGGUAAAGGCCCACCAAGGCGACGAUCCGUAGCUGGUCUGAGAGGAUGAUCAGCCACACUGGAACUGAGACACGGUCCAGACUCCUACGGGAGGCAGCAGUGGGGAAUAUUGGACAAUGGGCGCAAGCCUGAUCCAGCCAUACCGCGUGGGUGAAGAAGGCCUUCGGGUUGUAAAGCCCUUUUGUUGUGAAAGAAAUCCAGCUGGCUAAUACCCGGUUGGGAUGACGGUACCCAAAGAAUAAGCACCGGCUAACUUCGUGCCAGCCGCCGCCGUAA